CCAGCGUAAUAUUAUUUCAAUGUCCAUGUUACUGCACAUUGUCAUUUUCUUCUUAUUAUUUUUGUUCUAAUUUUUUUUUUCUUUAUUUUGGGAAAAUUUAUUUUUUUAUUUUUUUGGCAAAAUUUCAUUUUUUUUUUUUAAAUUUUGGCCAAAUUUUAUUUAUCCCCGGGUGAACAAGGGUGGGGUGUUAUUUACACCGGGGUAGUCAACCAAUCAGAUUGCAGUAUUUUUGCUGCAUAAGAAAUAAAAAUC
RNAcentral lists this long non-coding RNA (252 nucleotides) under Mytilus galloprovincialis (Mediterranean mussel). Lineage: Eukaryota; Metazoa; Mollusca; Bivalvia; Mytilida; Mytilidae. The record is from RNAcentral.